GAUGAACGCUGGCGGCGUGCUUAACACAUGCAAGUCGAACGGGAAACCUUUUAUUGAAGCUUCGGCAGAUUUAGCUGGUUUCUAGUGGCGGACGGGUGAGUAACGCGUGGGUAACCUGCCUUAUACAGGGGGAUAACAACCAGAAAUGGUUGCUAAUACCGCAUAAGCGCACAGGACCGCAUGGUCCGGUGUGAAAAACUCCGGUGGUAUAAGAUGGACCCGCGUUGGAUUAGCUAGUUGGCAGGGUAACGGCCUACCAAGGCGACGAUCCAUAGCCGGCCUGAGAGGGUGAACGGCCACAUUGGGACUGAGACACGGCCCAGACUCCUACGGGAAGCAGCAGUGGGGAAUAUUGCACAAUGGGGGAAACCCUGAUGCAGCGACGCCGCGUGAAGGAAGAAGUAUCUCGGUAUGUAAACUUCUAUCAGCAGGGAAGAUAGUGACGGUACCUGACUAAGAAGCCCCGGCUAACUACGUG
RNAcentral lists this ribosomal RNA (478 nucleotides) under uncultured bacterium. RNAcentral's name for it is "partial 16S ribosomal RNA". It matches the Rfam family "Bacterial small subunit ribosomal RNA", at positions 28 to 507 of the family's 1533-position model. The record is from RNAcentral.